Molecule: ribosomal RNA, 825 nt
Filed under: uncultured Gammaproteobacteria bacterium
Lineage: Bacteria; Pseudomonadati; Pseudomonadota; Gammaproteobacteria
Description: bacterial SSU rRNA
Rfam family: Bacterial small subunit ribosomal RNA
Source: RNAcentral
CCUGCGUAAGAUUAGCUUGUUGGUGAGGUAAUGGCUCACCAAGGCUACGAUCUUUAGCUGGUCUGAGAGGAUGAUCAGCCACACCGGGACUGAGACACGGCCCGGACUCCUACGGGAGGCAGCAGUCGGGAAUAUUGCGCAAUGGGGGAAACCCUGACGCAGCCAUGCCGCGUGUGUGAAGAAGGCCCUAGGGUUGUAAAGCACUUUCAAUUGGGAGGAAAAGCUAAUGGUUAAUAGCCAUUAGCCCUGACGUUACCUUUAGAAGAAGCACCGGCUAACUCCGUGCCAGCAGCCGCGGUAAUACGGAGGGUGCAAGCGUUAAUCGGAAUUACUGGGCGUAAAGCGCGCGUAGGCGGCUCUUUAAGUCGGAUGUGAAAGCCCCGGGCUCAACCUGGGAACUGCAUCCGAUACUGGAGGGCUAGAGUGUAGGAGAGGGAGGUAGAAUUCCAUGUGUAGCAGUGAAAUGCGUAGAUAUAUGGAGGAAUACCAGUGGCGAAGGCGGCCUCCUGGCUUAACACUGACGCUGAGGUGCGAAAGCGUGGGGAGCAAACGGGAUUAGAUACCCCGGUAGUCCACGCCGUAAACGAUGUCUACUAGCUGUAGGGGUACUUGAGACCUUUGUAGCGCAGCUAACGCACUAAGUAGACCGCCUGGGGAGUACGGCCGCAAGGUUAAAACUCAAAUGAAUUGACGGGGGCCCGCACAAGCAGUGGAGCAUGUGGUUUAAUUCGAUGCAACGCGAAGAACCUUACCAGGCCUUGACAUCCUAGGAAUCCUGUAGAGAUACGGGAGUGCCUUCGGGAAUCUAGUGACAGGUGCUGCAUG